GUGAGAUAUCACCUCUCUCAAUAAAAUGGAUCCCAUUCCAGACAGUUUUGAAAAAUAUUCUAUCUACCUAAAGGUAGAUGUAGAAGUUCCAAGACAUCACUUUGAAGAUGAGCAGCAAAGGACAUCAUCCCUCAUCAACUGGCGGAUCAUCUGGCUGAAGAUGGUCACAAAUGCUUCUUAAAGAGAUAGGUCUGUCUAACUACACCACGCGGAUUGCAGCAGCUCAAGAAGGCAGCUCAUUACCAUCUUCUCAAGGGAUCGGAAAUAAAUCAUAGGAAAAAAAAUUCUA
Long non-coding RNA from Chiloscyllium plagiosum (whitespotted bambooshark), 289 nucleotides. RefSeq lists it as uncharacterized. The record is from RefSeq and is a predicted model, not a curated record. Lineage: Eukaryota; Metazoa; Chordata; Chondrichthyes; Orectolobiformes; Hemiscylliidae.